RNAcentral lists this ribosomal RNA (450 nucleotides) under uncultured bacterium. RNAcentral's name for it is "partial 16S ribosomal RNA". It matches the Rfam family "Bacterial small subunit ribosomal RNA", at positions 354 to 796 of the family's 1533-position model. The record is from RNAcentral.
GUGGGGAAUCUUCCGCAAUGGACGAAAGUCUGACGGAGCAACGCCGCGUGAGUGAUGACGGUCUUCGGAUUGUAAAGCUCUGUUAAUCGGGACGAAAGAGCUCUGUGUGAAUAAUGCAGAGAAGUGACGGUACCGGAAUAGAAAGCCACGGCUAACUACGUGCCAGCAGCCGCGGUAAUACGUAGGUGGCAAGCGUUGUCCGGAAUUAUUGGGCGUAAAGCGCGCGCAGGCGGGUUUUUAAGUCUGUCUUAAAAGUUCGGGGCUUAACCCCGUGAGGGGAUGGAAACUGGAAACCUAGAGUAUCGGAGAGGAAAGCGGAAUUCCUAGUGUAGCGGUGAAAUGCGUAGAUAUUAGGAAGAACACCAGUGGCGAAGGCGGCUUUCUGGACGAAAACUGACGCUGAGGCGCGAAAGCCAGGGGAGCAAACGGGAUUAGAUACCCCGGUAGUCC